UUGGCAGGGACAUUUCUUCCUCCUCAACAGCUGACAAGACAACCAGGAGGCUGGCUAAACCCUGCUUCCCACCACAAGACUGCUGCAGCUGAGAGAUCCUAGGACACAUGACAAAGGCCAGCAGAAGCAAUGCCUCUUAUUCAAUACCUGAUUGCUUGUACAGUCAGCUUAACUUCUACUUGGAAAUACUGCUUUGGAAGAGAAAAUUAAGAAAAAAGCAUCAUUAAAAAAAAGACAAGGUUGGGCUUCCCUGGUGGCGCAGUGGUUGAGAGUCCGCCUGCCGAUGCAGGGGAUACGGGUUCGUGCCCCGGUCCGGGAAGAUCCCACAUGCUGCGGAGCGGCUGGACCCGUGAGCCAUGACCGCUGAGCCGGCGUGUCCGGAGCCUGUGCUCUGCAACGGGAGAGGCCACAACAGUGAGAGGCCUGCAUACCAAAAAAAAAAAAAAAAAAAAAAGACAAGGCUACUCGCAGAUCUAACAUGCUAAGCUUUAACUUAGUACGUUCUUAGGACUGAUGUUUUCCAAGGAACAAACUUUCUUGUUUCCUGUGCAAUAAUAAAGGUUUGUUAUAAAAGUUAAGUACAAAAAGUGAGAAAAAAUAAAAAUAGUGGUAUCUUCACAGUUGAGUUCUUAACAUAUUUUCUGAUAUAUGUAAAAAGAGAAAAAUUGGCAAAAUGAGUACCAACAUUUUAAAAAAUAAGAAUUAAGCCUAAA
Molecule: long non-coding RNA, 713 nt
Organism: Mesoplodon densirostris (Blainville's beaked whale)
Lineage: Eukaryota; Metazoa; Chordata; Mammalia; Artiodactyla; Ziphiidae
Exons: 3
Source: RefSeq, a predicted model, not a curated record